UGAGGCAAAUGUAAUAGUCGUGAUUGAGC
RNAcentral lists this non-coding RNA (29 nucleotides) under Rattus norvegicus (Norway rat). The record is from RNAcentral. Lineage: Eukaryota; Metazoa; Chordata; Mammalia; Rodentia; Muridae.